AGCCAAUAAUCAUAGUCAAGAACCAUAAAUAGGUCUUAAAUAGUAAUGAAAACAUGUUCAUAGAGUCUAACAGUACAAAGUAAAUUAAACCGAACUAACACGUUUACAAACUAAACUGGGAUCCCGUUCCUUAGCCUUGAAUCUUGAACUAAGUUUUUUUCCUACUUGAAAUCGUCCCUCCUGUAGCUUCUGUCACCUUUUUUUAGCCGUCGAAUCAAUAUCCCCUUUUGAAUCAUGCCCUCCUCUUUAAAUACAUGGUAUCACAGUUGAACUCUAAAUAAGUUUCACGGUCUGGGCUUUUUGUAGUGUUUCUAAAGCCAGCCUGGUGGGCCUAUUCUCAUAUUAUACAUAAUAACAUUUAGGGUAGCUUCUUGGCUACAGUAGCCAAAGAAGCCCCAGUAUUCAAAUUAAUUACAUAAUUGCCACAGUUCAGGUUUUACCAGCUUCCCGCUUCUUCCACCGAUAACCACCGACUUGCCCCAAAUCCACGUCAGGCGACAAAACAUUUCCACUGUAUUUCUACUCAGAAAAACAUGAAAAUCAACAACAGAGAGAGGAAGAAGACAACAACAGAGAGAGAGAGAGAGAGAGAGAGAGAAAGAAAGAGAGACGACGGUGGUUGCUGUUUCCGACGCCACCUCCUACCGGCAACGGAAUCAGCUGAUGGCGGCGAGUUUAGGUUUUCCGUUGGCCCUUUCUGAUUAUGGUUGAAGGAGUGAACCUUCGCUGGGUAUUUUUCUACUCCGCUCGUAGAAAGCAGCCAGCUGAAAUUGAUACAGCAUCAACUCAUCCAUGAUCCAUGCAAAAGGCUACGCCAACCGAUAUGCUUUCCAGAUUUAAUAAUUUUAAAAAGUUAAGUUUUCCGAAGGUAAAGUCCAGUGGACCAAAUUUGGGUAAUCUGUCUUAAAAACAUUCUGAGCUAAGUUGACUCCGGUGAAGAAUCCGGCUACCAAUAUGAUCCUGUUGUCAUAGAAGGAACUUUGGUCAACAGGUGGCUGCCGGCUUAGAUGAGGGUGCCGAUUAACAGUUCAGGUGAAGUAUGAUAUACUUCCAAUUGAAUAUAUUGAUAUUCAUUAAUUGAUAUUGUGAAUCUGUUUAUGGAUGAGGAACCUUCAAUGAUGAUGUUCGUGAUUGGAACUGCUCAGAUUCAGUAACGUCUUGAUGAUGGCAGAAUAUGGCAGUGAGGGAUCAAUAGGGGGCCAAAAUAACUGUGCGCAACAAAGGACCAUUUGCGCAUAUGAGCAAGAUACAGGUCCUGUUUGGGUGCGAUGAUCAUACUUGGUUAUCAAGGCAGAACUUGAGUCAAAAGGCGAGUCGACUCAAUCAAACAAAAAACAACAACAAUGUUGAUGCCACUCAUACCAUGUACUAUUUACUUUUUAUAAUUUCUUUCGCAUACCUUGCAACUCUUUAACGCGUAAGUUUUCUAACAUUUCGGUAUAUAAUUUGUUUUGACCAGUA
Helianthus annuus (common sunflower) is the source of this 1461-nucleotide long non-coding RNA. RefSeq lists it as uncharacterized. The transcript has 2 exons. The record is from RefSeq and is a predicted model, not a curated record. NCBI's taxonomy places the organism in Eukaryota, Viridiplantae, Streptophyta, Magnoliopsida, Asterales, Asteraceae.